GCUUUAGUAGCUCAGUGCCAGAGCACCGGUCUUGUAAACCGGCCGUCGGAGGUUAAAGCCCUCCCUAAUGCU
RNAcentral lists this transfer RNA (72 nucleotides) under Pentanemus quinquarius. Its description in RNAcentral is "tRNA-Thr". It matches the Rfam family "tRNA". Rfam says of the family: Transfer RNA (tRNA) molecules are approximately 80 nucleotides in length. The record is from RNAcentral. Lineage: Eukaryota; Metazoa; Chordata; Actinopteri; Polynemidae.